Molecule: ribosomal RNA, 492 nt
Filed under: uncultured bacterium
Lineage: Bacteria
Description: partial 16S ribosomal RNA
Rfam family: Bacterial small subunit ribosomal RNA
Source: RNAcentral
AGUGAACGCUGGCGGUAGGCCUAACACAUGCAAGUCGAACGGCAGCACAGUAAGAGCUUGCUCUUACGGGUGGCGAGUGGCGGACGGGUGAGGAAUACAUCGGAAUCUACUUUUUCGUGGGGGAUAACGUAGGGAAACUUACGCUAAUACCGCAUACGACCUACGGGUGAAAGCAGGGGAUCUUCGGACCUUGCGCGAUUGAAUGAGCCGAUGUCGGAUUAGCUAGUUGGCGGGGUAAAGGCCCACCAAGGCGACGAUCCGUAGCUGGUCUGAAAGGAUGAUCAGCCACACUGGAACUGAGACACGGCCCAGACUCCUACGGGAGGCAGCAGUGGGGAAUAUUGGACAAUGGGCGCAAGCCUGAUCCAGCCAUACCGCGUGGGUGAAGAAGGCCUUCGGGUUGUAAAGCCCUUUUGUUGGGAAAGAAAAGCAGCAGGUUAAUACCCCGCUGUUCUGACAGUACCCAAAGAAUAAGCACCGGCUAACUUCGUG